RNAcentral lists this ribosomal RNA (497 nucleotides) under uncultured bacterium. RNAcentral's name for it is "partial 16S ribosomal RNA". It matches the Rfam family "Bacterial small subunit ribosomal RNA", at positions 28 to 507 of the family's 1533-position model. The record is from RNAcentral.
GAUGAACGCUGGCGGCGUGCCUAAUACAUGCAAGUCGAGCGAACGGACGAGAAGCUUGCUUCUCUGAUGUUAUCGGCGGACGGGUGAGUAACACGUGGAUAACCUACCUAUAAGACUGGGAUAACUUCGGGAAACCGGAGCUAAUACCGGAUGAUAUUUUGAACCGCAUGGUUCAAAAGUGAAAGACGGUCUUUCUGUCACUUAUAGAUGGAUCCGCGCUGCAUUAGCUAGUUGGUAAGGUAACGGCUUACCAAGGCAACGAUGCAUAGCCGACCUGAGAGGGUGAUCGGACACACUGGAACUGAGACACGGUCCAGACUCCUACGGGAGGCAGCAGUAGGGAAUCUUCCGCAAUGGGCGAAAGCCUGACGGAGCGACGCCGCGUGAGUGAUGAAGGUCUUAGGAUCGUAAAACUCUGUUAUUAGGGAAGAACAUAUGUGUAAGUAACUGUGAACAUCUUGACGGUACCUAAUCAGAAAGCCACGGCUAACUACGUG